This 73-nucleotide transfer RNA is filed under the name Felis catus (domestic cat). It matches the Rfam family "tRNA". From Rfam's summary of the family: Transfer RNA (tRNA) molecules are approximately 80 nucleotides in length. Their secondary structure includes four short double-helical elements and three loops (D, anti-codon, and T loops). Further hydrogen bonds mediate the characteristic L-shaped molecular structure. tRNAs have two regions of fundamental functional importance: the anti-codon, which is responsible for specific mRNA codon recognition, and the 3' end, to which the tRNAs corresponding amino acid is attached (by aminoacyl-tRNA synthetases). tRNAs cope with the degeneracy of the genetic code in two manners: having more than one tRNA (with a specific anti-codon) for a particular amino acid; and 'wobble' base-pairing, i.e. permitting non-standard base-pairing at the 3rd anti-codon position. The record is from Rfam by way of RNAcentral. Lineage: Eukaryota; Metazoa; Chordata; Mammalia; Carnivora; Felidae.
GCCUGGCUGGCUCAGUUGGUAGAGCAUGCAGCUCUUGAUCUUAGGGUCAUGAGUUUAAGCCCUAUGUUAGGCA